GUGGGGAAUCUUAGACAAUGGGGGCAACCCUGAUCUAGCCAUGCCGCGUGAGUGAUGAAGGCCUUAGGGUUGUAAAGCUCUUUCAGUGGGGAAGAUAAUGACGGUACCCACAGAAGAAGCCCCGGCUAACUCCGUGCCAGCAGCCGCGGUAAUACGGAGGGGGCUAGCGUUGUUCGGAAUUACUGGGCGUAAAGCGCACGUAGGCGGAUCGGAAAGUUGGGGGUGAAAUCCCAGGGCUCAACCCGGGAACUGCCUUCAAAACUAUCGGUCUGGAGUCCGAGAGAGGUGAGUGGAAUUCCGAGUGUAGAGGUGAAAUUCGUAGAUAUUCGGAGGAACACCAGUGGCGAAGGCGGCUCACUGGCUCGGUACUGACGCUGAGGUGCGAAAGCGUGGGGAGCAAACAGGAUUAGAAACCCCUGUAGUCC
This 425-nucleotide ribosomal RNA is filed under the name uncultured bacterium. RNAcentral's name for it is "partial 16S ribosomal RNA". It matches the Rfam family "Bacterial small subunit ribosomal RNA", at positions 354 to 796 of the family's 1533-position model. The record is from RNAcentral.